UUAAAGAUUCAAUUUUUACUCGAGAAUCACAGUAAUAUGAACAAUGAGUUGUCGAAGAAAACUGGUUUACUUAUGUAGAACCAAUCAAAAAGAAUAAAUUGCUCUCUGUGGUUUAAAAUAAUUUUGAUACCGUAAAAAUAAAAGGCUGAAAGUUUAAAUUUUGAUUGAAGUGAUAAAGACUUUUACUUUAAAAAAACAAAUACUAAAAAAGAAGUAUUAAUAUAUUUAAAAUCAAGUGGGUCCAAUAAGGGUAAAAAGGUAAUUAUGCCUUUAAAAAUUUUCCAAAUAAGAAAAGAUGACAUUUAUUUUGGGACGGACAAAAAAAGAAAUGGCGACACAUAAUUGGGGACGGAGGGAGUAGUAUUUUUAUUUGGUUCGAAGGAUAUCAUGUGCCUCAGCAGAGAAGUAAAGUUCUGCUCUCCUCUCUUUCUCUUACGUAUCUAGUUCUAUAGCUUGACCCUUACUUUUAUGAUGUAAGGGCAGAACAUAUGUCAAAAGUUAUUUAAUUUCGCUAUUAUGAGUAUUUUUGGGGAUGUUGGAGACUUAAUUAAAAAGUAUUAAUACUAUGUAAUAUUGAUUGGUAAUAUUUAUGUCUAUUAACAUUCUAAAAUUAAAUUAUAAAAUAUUAUUUUUUUAAAGUGGGCUGGCCCGUGAGGCCCGCAACCCACAGAGUAAUAGUGUGGGCUUGAUAUUUUUUGGCUCAUCAUUUUGAUAGGCUAGCCCAACCUGACCUGUCAAACUCAAAGUCCGUGUGGGCUAGCUCAGAUGGGCUAAGCCAACCCGUAUUGACAUCUCUGCAAAAAAAAAAAAACUCUACAUUAUUGAUACUCAAAGGAGACUUUGGAAUCUUGAAGAAUGCACGGAGGCGAAUUCAGGAUUUCAAAACGCGGAUGUAUGAAUGUGAAAUUCAUCAAGAUGACCUACAUUAUGCAUAUUAUACUAGACAAGGAGCCCAN
RNAcentral lists this long non-coding RNA (956 nucleotides) under Capsicum annuum. RNAcentral describes it as "long non-coding RNA (CANN_LNC016602)". Lineage: Eukaryota; Viridiplantae; Streptophyta; Magnoliopsida; Solanales; Solanaceae. The record is from RNAcentral.